RNAcentral lists this ribosomal RNA (225 nucleotides) under uncultured bacterium. RNAcentral's name for it is "partial 16S ribosomal RNA". It matches the Rfam family "Bacterial small subunit ribosomal RNA", at positions 1276 to 1500 of the family's 1533-position model. The record is from RNAcentral.
UAAAAGACGAUCUCAGUUCGGACNGCAGGCUGCAACUCGCCUGCACGAAGUUGGAAUUGCUAGUAAUCGUGGAUCAGCAUGCCACGGUGAAUACGUUCCCGGGUCUUGUACACACCGCCCGUCACACCAUGGGAGCCGGUAAUACCCGAAGUCAGUAGUCUACCCGCAAGGAGGACGCUGCCGAAGGUAGGAUUGGCGACUGGGGUGAAGUCGUAACAAGGUAUC